Long non-coding RNA from Saccostrea cuccullata (small rock oyster), 298 nucleotides. RefSeq lists it as uncharacterized. NCBI's taxonomy places the organism in Eukaryota, Metazoa, Mollusca, Bivalvia, Ostreida, Ostreidae. The record is from RefSeq and is a predicted model, not a curated record. The transcript has 3 exons.
AAAUCAGAUUGGGCGUAGCAAUUGACCGGAGAAGUUUUGCUUAAGACAGCUCUCAAGUUUUAUUUUGAUCAUGUAAUUUCUUAUUUCAUGACCAGAGGUCCACCUAUUCUGGGCCCCAUUUAUUUAGGCCAGCUAUCCUUUUAUGCCAUCCAGCAGGAAGCCAUUGGGCCAUGUAGAAACGCGUGUGUUUGUACAUAUUGUAAAUAAAACUAUAUAUAACAAAACUGUAUUGUGUGAUUUUGGGAAGCCGCUAGCCACUCUCUAUCCUUUUAUGCCAUCCAGCAGGAAGCCAUUGGGC